This 468-nucleotide ribosomal RNA is filed under the name uncultured bacterium. RNAcentral's name for it is "partial 16S ribosomal RNA". It matches the Rfam family "Bacterial small subunit ribosomal RNA", at positions 28 to 507 of the family's 1533-position model. The record is from RNAcentral.
GACGAACGCUGGCGGCGUGCUUAACACAUGCCAGUCGAACGGUGAAGCUCCAGCUUGCUGGAGUGGAUCAGUGGCGAACGGGUGAGUAACACGUGAGCAGCCUGCCCCUGACUCUGGAAUAAGCGCUGGAAACGGCGUCUAAUACUGGAUACGAGAAGGGUCCGCAUGGGCACUUUCUGGAAAGUUUUUCGGUUGGGGAUGGGCUCGCGGCCUAUCAGCUUGUUGGUGAGGUAAUGGCUCACCAAGGCGACGACGGGUAGCCGGCCUGAGAGGGCGACCGGCCACACUGGGACUGAGACACGGCCCAGACUCCUACGGGAGGCAGCAGUGGGGAAUAUUGCACAAUGGGCGAAAGCCUGAUGCAGCGACGCCGCGUGAGGGAUGACGGCCUUCGGGUUGUAAACCUCUUUCAGCAGGGAAGAAGCGAAAGUGACGGUACCUGCAGAAGAAGCACCGGCUAACUACGUG